RNAcentral lists this long non-coding RNA (219 nucleotides) under Ricinus communis (castor bean). RNAcentral's name for it is "long non-coding RNA (RCOM_LNC000780)". Lineage: Eukaryota; Viridiplantae; Streptophyta; Magnoliopsida; Malpighiales; Euphorbiaceae. The record is from RNAcentral.
GGUGGUGGAUCAGGGUCCGUGAAGCAUGUUGCCAAAUCGAACUCCAUAUCAUCAAUGAGCCGCUGAUUUUGUGCUCCAGCCUCUGCCAUCUUUUGAAUCUGCACUACUAUGAAGUCUGUCUGGGUGGCCUGUCUUUCUAAACCACUCAGGAACUAUUGAAAUAUACUGUCCAACUGCCCAACUGUGCCUUCGUUUCUUCUUGAAACCGCACAAACUCAG